RNAcentral lists this ribosomal RNA (717 nucleotides) under uncultured bacterium. Its description in RNAcentral is "bacterial SSU rRNA". It matches the Rfam family "Bacterial small subunit ribosomal RNA", at positions 62 to 811 of the family's 1533-position model. The record is from RNAcentral.
UCGAACGAGAAAGUGGAGCAAUCCAUGAGUAAAGUGGCGACCGGGUGAGUAACACGUGACUAACCUACCCUCGAGUGUGGAAUAACAUCGGGAAACCGAUGCUAAUACCGCAUAACAUCGCAAGAUCAAAGGAGCAAUCCGCUUGAGGAGGGGGUCGCGGCUGAUUAGCUAGUUGGCGGGGUAACGGCCCACCAAGGCGAAGAUCGGUAGCCGGCCUGAGAGGGCGCACGGCCACACUGGAACUGAAACACGGUCCAGACUCCUACGGGAGGCAGCAGUGGGGAAUUUUGCGCAAUGGGGGAAACCCUGACGCAGCAACGCCGCGUGGAGGAUGAAGCCCCUUGGGGCGUAAACUCCUUUCGACCAAGACGAUAAUGACGGUACUGGUGGAAGAAGCACCGGCUAACUCUGUGCCAGCAGCCGCGGUAAUACAGAGGGUGCAAGCGUUGUUCGGAAUUAUUGGGCGUAAAGGGCGCGUAGGCGGCGCGGUAAGUCACCUGUGAAAUCUCCGGGCUUAACUCGGAGCCUGCAGGCGAAACUGCCGUGCUGGAGUAUGGGAGAGGUGCGUGGAAUUCCCGGUGUAGCGGUGAAAUGCGUGGAUAUCGGGAGGAACACCUGUGGCGAAAGCGGCGCACUGGACCAUAACUGACGCUGAGGCGCGAAAGCUAGGGGAGCAAACAGGAUUAGAUACCCUGGUAGUCCUAGCCCUAAACGAUG